Molecule: ribosomal RNA, 253 nt
Filed under: uncultured bacterium
Lineage: Bacteria
Description: partial 16S ribosomal RNA
Rfam family: Bacterial small subunit ribosomal RNA
Source: RNAcentral
UACGUAGGGGGCGAGCGUUGUCCGGAAUCAUUGGGCGUAAAGCGCGUGUAGGCGGCCCGGUAAGUCCGCUGUGAAAGUCCAGGGCUCAACCCUGGGAUGCCGGUGGAUACUGUCGGGCUCGAGUCCGGAAGAGGCGAGUGGAAUUCCUGGUGUAGCGGUGAAAUGCGCGGAUAUCAGGAGGAACACCAAUGGCGAAGGCAGCUCGCUGGGACGUGACUGACGCUGAGACGCGAAAGCGUGGGGAGCAAACAGG